GACGAACGCUGGCGGCGUGCUUAACACAUGCAAGUCGAACGGAAAGGCCCUGCUUUUGUGGGGUGCUCGAGUGGCGAACGGGUGAGUAACACGUGAGUAACCUGCCCUUGACUUUGGGAUAACUUCAGGAAACUGGGGCUAAUACCGGAUAGGAGCUCCUGCUGCAUGGUGGGGGUUGGAAAGUUUCGGCGGUUGGGGAUGGACUCGCGGCUUAUCAGCUUGUUGGUGGGGUAGUGGCUUACCAAGGCCUUGACGGGUAGCCGGCCUGAGAGGGUGACCGGCGACAUUGGGACUGAGAUACGGCCCAGACUCCUACGGGAGGCAGCAGUGGGGAAUAUUGCACAAUGGGCGGAAGCCUGAUGCAGCAACGCCGCGUGCGGGAUGACGGCCUUCGGGUUGUAAACCGCUUUCGCCUGUGACGAAGCGUGAGUGACGGUAAUGGGUAAAGAAGCACCGGCUAACUACGUG
RNAcentral lists this ribosomal RNA (468 nucleotides) under uncultured bacterium. RNAcentral describes it as "partial 16S ribosomal RNA". It matches the Rfam family "Bacterial small subunit ribosomal RNA", at positions 28 to 507 of the family's 1533-position model. The record is from RNAcentral.